UGGGGAAUUUUGGACAAUGGGCGAAAGCCUGAUCCAGCAAUGCCGCGUGUGUGAAGAAGGCCUUCGGGUUGUAAAGCACUUUUGUCCGGAAAGAAAUCCUUGGCUCUAAUACAGUCGGGGGAUGACGGUACCGGAAGAAUAAGCACCGGCUAACUACGUGCCAGCAGCCGCGGUAAUACGUAGGGUGCAAGCGUUAAUCGGAAUUACUGGGCGUAAAGCGUGCGCAGGCGGUUUGCUAAGACCGAUGUGAAAUCCCCGGGCUCAACCUGGGAACUGCAUUGGUGACUGGCAGGCUAGAGUAUGGCAGAGGGGGGUAGAAUUCCACGUGUAGCAGUGAAAUGCGUAGAGAUGUGGAGGAAUACCGAUGGCGAAGGCAGCCCCCUGGGCCAAAUACUGACGCCAUGCACGAAGACGUGGGGAGCAAAACAGGAUUAGAUACCCUGGUAGUCCACGCCCUAAAACGAUGUCAACUAGUUGUUGGGGAUUCAUUUCCUUAGUAACGUAGCUAACGCGUGAAGUUGACCGCCUGGGGAGUACGGUCGCAAGAUUAAAACUCAAAUGAAUUGACGGGGUCAUAGCUG
This 581-nucleotide ribosomal RNA is filed under the name uncultured bacterium. RNAcentral's name for it is "partial 16S ribosomal RNA". It matches the Rfam family "Bacterial small subunit ribosomal RNA", at positions 355 to 932 of the family's 1533-position model. The record is from RNAcentral.